AAAAACAAGAUCCUGAUCUCUAGUUCUUUGAGUCAGCUGAUUAGCUCUACAGUUAAGAGAUUAGUGAGAGAAAAAAAAACUUAUUCCAAAACCAUUAAGAAAGUUGGCCACUCAUGCAUGUGAAAGCUGGUGGUUUGCUUGAAAUUUGGAUAAAUUUAAUGGGUAUCUUCAAUAAGUUUUCCAUAGUAUAUGUAUACAUUGAUGCUUUCAUGCUCCAAUCCAUCCAGCAUUUCCUUUCCAAUCUGCAUCUUGAGAUUGAGUCGUAACACGGACUUGGUGUGUUGCUUCUCUUAAUUUCUUAAACUUCAGGCUAGGCUUGCGGAUUUUGAUUUCUUCACUUAGUUCAGGUCGGUUUGUUCGGAUUUCAAUUAUUUCGGGUGGUCGAAAUCUAACCGAAGUGAGCCGAGAAGAAAUUUUCUUCGGUUCAGCUUUGAUUAGUUCGGUUUUAAAAUUUUCAAACAAAGUUUUUGGUUUUUGGAAUAUAAUUCGAAAGUUUCAGUAAGUUUGGUUAUUUCGGUUGGAAUUUUAGUCUUUUUUAUAAUUGGUAUUGUUUGAUUUUUUUUUUUUAGAAAACCGAAUUAACCUACUGAAUCGAAAAUCGUAUUUUUAGUUGUUGGAUUAAACCAAACUUNNNNNNNNNNNNNGUUCGGUUAAUAACCGCAGGCCUACUUCUGGCUCUCACACGCGAGGCUUUAUAUUGCGAACAUAAUUAAGAAUAUCCAACCAUAUGAUUUUUAUUUUGCUUAUUAUGAAAGCGUAAGGGAGUAUUCUUAUU
This 775-nucleotide long non-coding RNA is filed under the name Brassica napus (rape). RNAcentral's name for it is "long non-coding RNA (BNAP_LNC001746)". Lineage: Eukaryota; Viridiplantae; Streptophyta; Magnoliopsida; Brassicales; Brassicaceae. The record is from RNAcentral.